RNAcentral lists this transfer RNA (82 nucleotides) under Aphananthe aspera. RNAcentral describes it as "tRNA-Leu". The record is from RNAcentral. Lineage: Eukaryota; Viridiplantae; Streptophyta; Magnoliopsida; Rosales; Cannabaceae.
AAAUCAAUUGGUUAAUGAUUCUGAAUAACCCAACUAAAAAGCUAGAAAAUUCAAAAUUCUAUAUUUUGUAUAUUUGAAUUUU